UUAGACAAAAAGGGUAAUGAA
RNAcentral lists this non-coding RNA (21 nucleotides) under Caenorhabditis elegans. The record is from RNAcentral. Lineage: Eukaryota; Metazoa; Nematoda; Chromadorea; Rhabditida; Rhabditidae.